CGUACACUCCUACGGGAGGCAGCAGUGGGGAAUAUUGCACAAUGGGCGCAAGCCUGAUGCAGCGACGCCGCGUGGGGGAUAAAGGCCUUCGGGUUGUAAACUCCUUUCGCUAGGGACGAAGCUUUUUUGUGACGGUACCUAGAUAAGAAGCACCGGCUAACUACGUGCCAGCAGCCGCGGUAAUACGUAGGGUGCGAGCGUUGUCCGGAAUUACUGGGCGUAAAGGGCUCGUAGGUGGUUUGUCGCGUCGUCUGUGAAAUUCUGGGGCUUAACUCCGGGCGUGCAGGCGAUACGGGCAUAACUUGAGUGCUGUAGGGGUAACUGGAAUCCCUGGUGUAGCGGUGAAAUGCGCAGAUAUCAGGAGGAACACCGAUGGCGAAGGCAGGUUACUGGGCAGUUACUGACGCUGAGGAGCGAAAGCAUGGGUAGCGAACAGGAUUAGAUACCCCAGUAGUCCCAUGA
RNAcentral lists this ribosomal RNA (462 nucleotides) under uncultured organism. RNAcentral's name for it is "partial 16S ribosomal RNA". It matches the Rfam family "Bacterial small subunit ribosomal RNA", at positions 330 to 800 of the family's 1533-position model. The record is from RNAcentral.